UGAGGGAAAGUAAUUGGCACAAAUGGAGGGAAACUCUGAUGCAGCAACGCCGCGUGGAGGAUGACGCAUUUCGGUGUGUAAACUCCUUUUAUGAGUCAAGAAAAUGACGGUAGCUCAUGAAUAAGCACCGGCUAACUCCGUGCCAGCAGCCGCGGUAAUACGGAGGGUGCAAGCGUUAUUCGGAAUCACUGGGCGUAAAGGACGCGUAGGCGGGAAGCCAAGUCUGAUGUGAAAUCCUAUGGCUUAACCAUAGAACUGCAUUGGAAACUGGUUACCUAGAGUAUGGGAGGGGGAGAUGGAAUUAGUGGUGUAGGGGUAAAAUCCGUAGAUAUCACUAGGAAUACCGAAAGCGAAGGCGAUCUCCUGGAACAAUACUGACGCUAAGGCGUGAAAGCGUGGGGAGCAAACG
RNAcentral lists this ribosomal RNA (409 nucleotides) under uncultured bacterium. RNAcentral's name for it is "bacterial SSU rRNA". It matches the Rfam family "Bacterial small subunit ribosomal RNA", at positions 350 to 774 of the family's 1533-position model. The record is from RNAcentral.